AUUGAACGCUGGCGGCAGGCCUAACACAUGCAAGUCGAGCGAGCGGCGGACGGGUGAGUAAUGUAUGGGGACUGCCCGAUAGAGGGGGAUAACUACUGGAAACGGUGGCUAAUACCGCAUACUAUCGGAUAACCCAUAGGGGGUUAGCUAGUAGGUGGGGUAAAGGCUCACCUAGGCGACGAUCUCUAGCUGGUCUGAGAGGAUGAUCAGCGACAUAGGGACGGAGAUACGGCCCAGGCGCGUACGGGGGCAGAAGUGGGGGAUAUUGCAGAAUGGGCGAAAGCCUGAUGCCGCGACGCCGCGUGGGGGUUGAAGGCUUUCGAGUUGUAAACCUCGUUCGCUAUCGAACGGGUAGGUGGAGAAGAAGCGCCGGCUAACUACGUGCCAGCAGCCGCGGUAAUAC
RNAcentral lists this ribosomal RNA (403 nucleotides) under uncultured bacterium. RNAcentral's name for it is "partial 16S ribosomal RNA". It matches the Rfam family "Bacterial small subunit ribosomal RNA", at positions 29 to 526 of the family's 1533-position model. The record is from RNAcentral.